RNAcentral lists this ribosomal RNA (395 nucleotides) under uncultured bacterium. RNAcentral describes it as "bacterial SSU rRNA". It matches the Rfam family "Bacterial small subunit ribosomal RNA", at positions 116 to 507 of the family's 1533-position model. The record is from RNAcentral.
CGUAUGCAAUCUACCUUUCACAGAGGGAUAGCCCAGAGAAAUUUGGGAUUAAUACCUCAUAGUAUAGCAGUUUCGCAUGAAACCACUAUUAAAGUUCCAACGGUGAAAGAUGAGCAUGCGUCCCAUUAGCUAGAUGGUAAGGUAACGGCUUACCAUGGCUACGAUAGGUAGGGGGUCCUGAGAGGGAGAUCCCCCACACUGGUACUGAGACACGGACCAGACUCCUACGGGAGGCAGCAGUGAGGAAUAUUGGACAAUGGGCGCAAGCCUGAUCCAGCCAUGCCGCGUGCAGGAAGAAGCAUCUAUGGUGUGUAAACUGCUUUUGUACAGGAAGAAACACUACUUCGUGAAGUAGCUUGACGGUACUGUAUGAAUAAGGACCGGCUAACUCCGUG